Thalassophryne amazonica is the source of this 149-nucleotide long non-coding RNA. RefSeq lists it as uncharacterized. NCBI's taxonomy places the organism in Eukaryota, Metazoa, Chordata, Actinopteri, Batrachoidiformes, Batrachoididae. The record is from RefSeq and is a predicted model, not a curated record. The transcript is spliced from 2 exons.
GAAGAGAAGAAACUAGUCAACGUGCUGGAUGCUGUUUUCAAGCCUGAAGUUCGUUGAUCCAGAGCAGACAUGCAGACAUUUUUGGUGAUAAAAGAAGAAUUUCUCCCUGAACACCAGGAAUGGAGUCCGAGUGUUGACCAGGAGGACAU